GAUGAACGCUGGCGGCGUGCCUAAUACAUGCAAGUCGAGCGAACGGACGAGAAGCUUGCUUCUCUGAUGUUAGCGGCGGACGGGUGAGUAACACGUGGAUAACCUACCUAUAAUACUGGGAUAACUUCGGGAAACCGGAGCUAAUACUGGAUCAUAUUUUGUACCGCAUGGUUCAAAAGUGAAAGACGGUUUUGCUGUCACUUUGAGAUGGAUCCGCGCUGCAUUAGCUAGUUGGUAAGGUAACGGCUUACCAAGGCAACGAUGCAUAGCGGACCUGAGAGGGUGAUCGGCCACACUGGAACUGAGACACGGUCCAGACUCCUACGGGAGGCAGCAGUAGGGAAUCUUCCGCAAAGGGCGAAAGCCUGACGGAGCAACGCCGCGUGAGUGAUGAAGGUCUUCGGAUCGUAAAACUCUGUUAUUAGGGAAGAACAUAUGUGUAAGUAACUGUGCACAUCUUGACGGUACCUAAUCAGAAAGCCACGGCUAACUACGUG
Molecule: ribosomal RNA, 497 nt
Filed under: uncultured bacterium
Lineage: Bacteria
Description: partial 16S ribosomal RNA
Rfam family: Bacterial small subunit ribosomal RNA
Source: RNAcentral